This 436-nucleotide ribosomal RNA is filed under the name uncultured bacterium. RNAcentral describes it as "partial 16S ribosomal RNA". It matches the Rfam family "Bacterial small subunit ribosomal RNA", at positions 28 to 507 of the family's 1533-position model. The record is from RNAcentral.
GAUGAACGCUGGCGGUAUGCUUAACACAUGCAAGUCGAACGGGGUGCAUAGUCACCUCGUGGCGGACGGGUGAGUAACGCGUGAGAAUCUGGCCUCAGGUCCGGGACAACCACGGGAAACGGUGGCUAAUACCGGAUGUGCCAUAUUGGUGAAAGAUUAAUUGCCUGAGGAUGAGCUCGCGUCUGAUUAGCUAGUUGGUGGGGUAAAGGCUUACCAAGGCGACGAUCAGUAACUGGUCUGAGAGGAUGACCAGUCACACUGGGACUGAGACACGGCCCAGACUCCUACGGGAGGCAGCAGUGGGGAAUUUUCCGCAAUGGGCGAAAGCCUGACGGAGCAAUACCGCGUGAGGGAGGAAGGCUCUUGGGUUGUAAACCUCUUUUCUCAGGGAAGAAGAAUGACGGUACCUGAGGAAUCAGCAUCGGCUAACUCCGUG